CACACCUAGUACCAGAGAAGAAUGUUGUCUUUGCACUCUAGAAAGUUCAGCAGAGGGAACACCCUAAGGACUUGGCAGAGAGGGGUAUUUCCAAACCUCCCAGGUGUAUUUCUGAAGGAUCCUCCUAUUCCAAGCUAAUUCUACUUGAAAGAGAUCAAGUCUGCCUCGGUAGCAGAAAAUCUGGAAUGGCUGAAGAAUAUUGGCUCAGCUGAAGAGAAUGUGUUAUAAGAUAAGUUGUUACUUGAAAUUCAACUACUCAGGUCUUGUGUCUUAAGGAUUUUGUGCAAGGUCUUCCUGUGUCCUGUCCCAGAGCAUCUUCAAAGGGAGCCAGUAUGCACUUCAUGGAAGGCAGAUUGCCACAUGCAGAGCCUCAUUUGGAUGUAUCUGGAGUCUUGGAAGCUUGUUUGCCCUAUGUUCUCCUACAAAUGGACCUUGGGAGCUCAUUCUAGUAGAGCAGUAGAGCUACCUGUAUACCCUUGACUGAAGAAUGGGGGUGGGGGAGGUGGUCUUCUUUGACCAAGCAUGCAGUGUUGGGAGGGAUGCACAUGGAGAGAUGAGGGAGGAGUGGGCCAACCACCUAGACAUCCAGAUCAGGUGAAGCAACCCUGGAGAGAUCAAUAGGCUGACAUGCCGCAGGCAAAACAUAGCUUAAAUGCCCUCCAUGAAAGCCUUCUCUUUUCUCCUAGCUGGAAAUGUUCUCCCAUCUUCUGUAUUUGGAGUU
This 721-nucleotide long non-coding RNA is filed under the name Monodelphis domestica (gray short-tailed opossum). Its description in RNAcentral is "lncRNA (ENSMODG00000026709.2)". The record is from RNAcentral. Lineage: Eukaryota; Metazoa; Chordata; Mammalia; Didelphimorphia; Didelphidae.